UGGGGAAUUUUGGACAAUGGGGCGAAAGCCUGAUCCAGCAAUGCCGCGUGUGUGAAGAAGGCCUUCGGGUUGUAAAGCACUUUUGUCCGGAAAGAAAUCCUUGGCUCUAAUACAGUCGGGGGAUGACGGUACCGGAAGAAUAAGCACCGGCUAACUACGUGCCAGCAGCCGCGGUAAUACGUAGGGUGCAAGCGUUAAUCGGAAUUACUGGGCGUAAAGCGUGCGCAGGCGGUUUGCUAAGACCGAUGUGAAAUCCCCGGGCUCAACCUGGGAACUGCAUUGGUGACUGGCAGGCUAGAGUAUGGCAGAGGGGGGUAGAAUUCCACGUGUAGCAGUGAAAUGCGUAGAGAUGGUGGAGGAAUACCGAUGGCGAAGGCAGCCCCCUGGGCCAAUACUGACGCUCA
RNAcentral lists this ribosomal RNA (404 nucleotides) under uncultured bacterium. Its description in RNAcentral is "partial 16S ribosomal RNA". It matches the Rfam family "Bacterial small subunit ribosomal RNA", at positions 355 to 749 of the family's 1533-position model. The record is from RNAcentral.